GUGCUGGCUGUAGCUUGAACUGGAGGUCUGGAGCAGAAAAAUUGCACCGAGGUAGCAGGUGGAUGAUGGUGUUGGUGCCUUUCUCUUGAAUUGUUGCUGGUGAUGGCUGCAAUUUAAAGGAGUAUUUUUUUCCUUUCUCUCCUUCCAUUUCUGUAAUUGUGCUUCCCCUAUGCGUGAUGAUGUUUCUUAGCACAAGGUGCAUUGGCUUGGGUUGAUCUGCUGUGAUAGUUCGGAGAGAUGAUAGUAGCAAGUAUAAACUCUCUACUAUGAUUAUAUUCAUAACACAUGGCAAAAAAGAGACUGCAUUAUUAAGUAAUCUGUUGUUUCGUUAUCAUUCUAAUUCUUUUUUAGCCACUAUACAUGUGUCAUGUAUGAGAACUUGAUAGAUAUUUGCUUAUCUGUGUCCAAGUGAUUACAGCAUAUAAUAAAGCGGGGAAAACAAGAUUUAUAUUGAGCAUUGUUUUUAAGGCGGUAAGGCGACCUAAGGCGAGCACCACCCGCUCUAGCGCCUAGGCGACGCCUAAGGCGGGCAUAUUUGUAAGGCGCUGCCCGGGCGCCUUAUCGCUUAAGUGUCGCCUAAGCGUCCAAUGCAGGACGCCUUAAAAACAAUGAUAUUGAGCUAUUAUACUCAUUUCUUUUAUUGGACUUGCUCAAACUUGCAUGAUUUUUUUGUUAGUAGUUGCCUUGUUCCUGCUAUUGGACUUGCUUAAUGGGUCGACGGGCUGUUUGUAUCCACUAUUUUAUUUUCUUCGGAAAGCAAGCUAAUGAGUUGGCUGCAGAAUCUAUGGAAAUUGUCUACAAACCCAGUAUGAGUUGCUGCCUUUUAAUCCCUUCUCUAAAGAAAACCUGGUUUGCUUGGAUAUAAUAUGCAAUUUGCUUAGAUUAGAGCACAACUUGCCUGCAAUAACUAAAGCAUUUGUCCAUGGGACACAACACAACUUGAUGUUCCGCAUAAUAUAGGUCCACAUUUAUUUGCCUGAAACUUGUAUGCAAAUUGCCUACAAACCAAGUUGUAGUUGCUCCUGACUUUCGCUAUUUAUUUUAAUUCGGCUAGCAAGCUGAUGAGGUUGCUACAUUAUCUAUGGAAAUUGCCUACAAACCCAAUACGAGUUGCUACCUUUCAAUCAUUUUUUAUAUGUGGUGCAUAUACUGGUUAGUAGUCUCCAUGUGUUUGUUAUUUUUUCAUAAUAAUUGCCUCAAAUUUUGUAUGUAGUUGCCUCAAAUAACACAUGAACCUUGCUCUUCAUUUAUUUUCCUUAACAUUUCAUAAUAAUUGGGGUAAUUUUAUACUUGAAGUUUAAAUGUGACAACACAUUAUCAUUGUAUGUUUUAUCUCUUGUUUUGCUACAUUGGGAUUUUUUUUAAUUGGGGGUGCCGAAUGGGGGUAUUCUCCCCCCUGUUUUUUACAGCCACGUGCUUUCAUUUUUGAGGCGCCUCAUGUCAACGACAACACAUGCCUCAGAUGAUUUUGUCCAUGAUGAUCUGGGUACGUUAACAACAACAGAUGCCUCAGAUGAGUCAUGUUUUUGUUAUUUUUCAGUGCGCAUUGGAAGGCGAUUCGCCUGUUUUUUUGGGUUUACUUGCCUGAAAUUGGUAUGUGAGUUGCCAGUAUCCGAGAGACGAUAUCCAGAAAGUCAUCUGAAUGCACUCUUUUUCUUUUUGUGUAGUAGGAACUAAUGGAUGAACCAAGCAAAAAUGGCAUUCAAGAAGAUCAUUAUGCAGUUAAUCGUGAUGCUGAUCCCUCACAUGUGAUUGAAGAUCAUCACGAGGUGUGUCCGAAAAAAGAUUCAAUAAACUUGUUGUGUGUUCUUUUAACUUGUUGCGUGUUCUUGUUGCAGGGCCAGAGAAGCACCCUUUAUUGGGUACCAGCGUUGAGGAAGAAAGGAGAUUGCUGCCAGUGGCAAACGUCUGUUGGACAUCAACAGCAAUUCGAGUGUUUCCACAUAUGGUGAUUGAAAUUCUAAGAAAGACACUGUCGUGGAACAACCAUCAAAAGAAAAAUGUCAAAAGACCGGAUCUAACGAGAAUAAGAGGACAGGGCAUCGCCUGCAAGGCUUUUCAAGCUGAAUAAACUUCUUGUACCUGUUCAACAAGGCCAAGCUCAAGUCACUUUCAGUCAAUUUCUGACACCAG
Molecule: ribosomal RNA, 2133 nt
Filed under: Triticum aestivum (bread wheat)
Lineage: Eukaryota; Viridiplantae; Streptophyta; Magnoliopsida; Poales; Poaceae
Description: partial small subunit ribosomal RNA
Source: RNAcentral